RNAcentral lists this transfer RNA (86 nucleotides) under Desulfovibrio legallii. RNAcentral's name for it is "tRNA-Leu". It matches the Rfam family "tRNA". Rfam says of the family: Transfer RNA (tRNA) molecules are approximately 80 nucleotides in length. Their secondary structure includes four short double-helical elements and three loops (D, anti-codon, and T loops). Lineage: Bacteria; Pseudomonadati; Thermodesulfobacteriota; Desulfovibrionia; Desulfovibrionales; Desulfovibrionaceae. The record is from RNAcentral. RNAcentral also lists the same sequence under 2 other names.
GCCCGGAUGGUGGAACGGUAGACACAAGGGACUUAAAAUCCCUAGUCCGAAAGGGCGUGCGGGUUCAAAUCCCGCUCCGGGUACCA